This 802-nucleotide ribosomal RNA is filed under the name Curtobacterium sp. RNAcentral's name for it is "bacterial SSU rRNA". It matches the Rfam family "Bacterial small subunit ribosomal RNA", at positions 81 to 894 of the family's 1533-position model. Lineage: Bacteria; Bacillati; Actinomycetota; Actinomycetes; Micrococcales; Microbacteriaceae. The record is from RNAcentral.
UGCUGGGUGGAUUAGUGGCGAACGGGUGAGUAACACGUGAGUAACCUGCCCCUGACUCUGGGAUAAGCGUUGGAAACGACGUCUAAUACUGGAUAUGACUGCCGGCCGCAUGGUCUGGUGGUGGAAAGAUUUUUUGGUUGGGGAUGGACUCGCGGCCUAUCAGCUUGUUGGUGAGGUAAUGGCUCACCAAGGCGACGACGGGUAGCCGGCCUGAGAGGGUGACCGGCCACACUGGGACUGAGACACGGCCCAGACUCCUACGGGAGGCAGCAGUGGGGAAUAUUGCACAAUGGGCGAAAGCCUGAUGCAGCAACGCCGCGUGAGGGAUGACGGCCUUCGGGUUGUAAACCUCUUUUAGUAGGGAAGAAGCGAAAGUGACGGUACCUGCAGAAAAAGCACCGGCUAACUACGUGCCAGCAGCCGCGGUAAUACGUAGGGUGCAAGCGUUGUCCGGAAUUAUUGGGCGUAAAGAGCUCGUAGGCGGUUUGUCGCGUCUGCUGUGAAAUCCCGAGGCUCAACCUCGGGCUUGCAGUGGGUACGGGCAGACUAGAGUGCGGUAGGGGAGAUUGGAAUUCCUGGUGUAGCGGUGGAAUGCGCAGAUAUCAGGAGGAACACCGAUGGCGAAGGCAGAUCUCUGGGCCGUAACUGACGCUGAGGAGCGAAAGCGUGGGGAGCGAACAGGAUUAGAUACCCUGGUAGUCCACGCCGUAAACGUUGGGCGCUAGAUGUAGGGACCUUUCCACGGUUUCUGUGUCGUAGCUAACGCAUUAAGCGCCCCGCCUGGGGAGUACGGCCGCAAGGC